Sinocyclocheilus anshuiensis is the source of this 1697-nucleotide long non-coding RNA. RefSeq lists it as uncharacterized. Lineage: Eukaryota; Metazoa; Chordata; Actinopteri; Cypriniformes; Cyprinidae. The transcript is spliced from 5 exons. The record is from RefSeq and is a predicted model, not a curated record.
UUUUCUGAGGGAGGGGUUUGGCAACACUGCUGUGCUCGUUCUCAGAAUACAGACAGUUCUCCUGACCUGCUAAAACCAGCAGUUUUGGGGAGAAAAUCCUUCAUCUCGUUCAUUUUGGCCAAGGAUCCGCUUAAGAUCUGCAGCGACUGCUGACUGAAUGUGGAGGAAAGUUUCACUGAUACGAGAACUACUGCAGAAGAUUGAAACAAUGAUGGAGGAGAACGGAGGGAAAUUUAAACACAUGAGGAGGAUACACAGCAUGGUCAGCAUUGUCAAUUUUUCAGCUGAAGAUCCAGAUGAGACUGAUGUGAUUCCUGAGAGCAAAGACCAGAUCAGGCCGGUUCUGCUGGGAGAAACUGGAUCUGGGCAAAGUGCCACUGGAAACAGAAAUCUGUUUGAAUCUUCAGCCGGUUCAAACUCUGAAACGAAACAGAGCCGCUCAGAAACCAAUGUCAGGAUGGGUAAAGAUAUCUGGUUUUAUUGAUAACGUGCAUGAAACACAUUCAAGAGAACAUGGAUGAGAAAGCAGGUGGCUCCAGAAAUGCAGAGUUUAGCAGAUGAGCCUCGUCACAAAGGUGAUUCUGAAGGUGAUCGUUGCUUCUGAUCUAUAGUUUUCAGUCACAUGAGACCUGGAGAACAAAACAUCCAUAGAGCUGCAGCACAGGCCUGUCUGCUUACUGUCUGCUUCACACACAUGUAGAUCAGCUGUACAAAGAAGAAAAACAAACAUGUGAACAAAAAGACAGUUUUGUGAUCCAUAUAUAGAGCACCUGCUGCAGUAUCUCAAUCACUGAAAACAUUAAAAAAAAAAACACGCUUAAUAUGGAAAACAUAUGAGGUGCCUUAAUGUACUAAAACAGUGAUCUUAAAAGCUGAUUGACGAUGCUUACUAUAUACAGGUGACCAGACGAAACCAGCAUGAUGUGGUUUAAUUCCAGGCUGCAACACAGGUGCAGAGGACUCGUCUGGUUCUUGCGUUAAAUGGUUAAGUGGUUUCUAUGAAUAUGCUUAACUGCUGUUGUUUUCUCUCUAAAACAUGGAUUACCAGCAAACCCUGGAGGCUGUAAAACAUGUUAUUGGGGCUCGAAGGGGAAACUAGCAGCACAGAAGAUGUGUGUAAUUCAGUAAGAAAAAGCAUUCAUGAUGCUACAGAAGCUCCAGAAAAGCUCAUCUGCUUUUUUUCUCACAGCUUCAGCUUGUUAACAUGAUUGUUUAAAAUAAUUAAUUGUAUUGUGCUUUUAGAAAGCUAAAGCUGAUAUAUUUUAUUUAGAGGAUCCGUGUACUUACACUAAAGAUGAUUAUUUUUAAAAGUCAUGAAGUGACAUGAUUUGUGUCGACUUCACGUGUAACCUUAUUUCAUACUGUUAUAAAUCUUUUCUAUUUUAAAAUCUGUGCAGUCUAGUUUUUUUUAUUCAGUAUUAAUGUCUAAAUGCUAUUGCAGUGCAAUAUAGUCUCACUCACACAUGUUGCUUUUCUAACUGUGCUUAUUUCUUCCAUCUGUAGCAGAGGGUGAUAUAAUCCGUUGCUGUCAAAACAAAAAAAUGACCCAUCUGACCACAUUCAAGACAUUUAUUUAGUGACGAUCAGAAAAUACAGCAUGCAUCAUCCUCCUCACACGCAAACAUCAGCUGAAGAAGAGAAUCAACAACAACAACAACAACAACAACAAAAAAAGUCCGUCAUGUCAUUCCAAAUAU